RNAcentral lists this small nuclear RNA (24 nucleotides) under Arabidopsis thaliana (thale cress). RNAcentral's name for it is "snRNA_15817". The record is from RNAcentral. Lineage: Eukaryota; Viridiplantae; Streptophyta; Magnoliopsida; Brassicales; Brassicaceae.
UGAAACUCAAUUCGUUCUUUGGCU